GUCAUUAGAGGAGUAAAGUGUACAGUCUCCGUGUGAACCAGCGGAGGGAUCAUUA
This 55-nucleotide ribosomal RNA is filed under the name uncultured fungus. RNAcentral's name for it is "partial 18S ribosomal RNA". Lineage: Eukaryota; Fungi. The record is from RNAcentral.